Molecule: small RNA, 17 nt
Filed under: Arabidopsis thaliana (thale cress)
Lineage: Eukaryota; Viridiplantae; Streptophyta; Magnoliopsida; Brassicales; Brassicaceae
Description: ATSL283860
Source: RNAcentral
AAAAAACCUCGGACAUU